RNAcentral lists this ribosomal RNA (378 nucleotides) under uncultured Bacilli bacterium. Its description in RNAcentral is "bacterial SSU rRNA". It matches the Rfam family "Bacterial small subunit ribosomal RNA", at positions 261 to 629 of the family's 1533-position model. Lineage: Bacteria; Bacillati; Bacillota; Bacilli. The record is from RNAcentral.
CGGCCGCGUCGACGGCAAUGAUACGUAGCCGAACUGAGAGGUUGAUCGGCCACAUUGGGACUGAGACACGGCCCAAACUCCUACGGGAGGCAGCAGUAGGGAAUCUUCCACAAUGGACGCAAGUCUGAUGGAGCAACGCCGCGUGAGUGAAGAAGGCUUUCGGGUCGUAAAACUCUGUUGUUGGAGAAGAAUGGUCGGUAGAGUAACUGUUGUCGGCGUGACGGUAUCCAACCAGAAAGCCACGGCUAACUACGUGCCAGCAGCCGCGGUAAUACGUAGGUGGCAAGCGUUAUCCGGAAUGAUUGGGCGUAAAGCGUCCGCAGGUGGCAGUUCAAGUCUGCUGUCAAAGACCGGGGCUUAACUUCGGAAAGGCAGUGG